CCUACGGGAGGCAGCAGUGGGGAAUAUUGCACAAUGGGGGGAACCCUGAUGCAGCGACGCCGCGUGGGUGAUGAAGUAUUUCGGUAUGUUAAGCCCUAUCAGCAGGGAAGUAAAUUACGGUACCUGACUUAGAAGCCCCGGCUAACAACGUGCCAGCACCCGCGGCAAUACGUAGGGGGCAAGCGUUAUCCGGAUUUACUGGGUGUAAAGGGAGCGUAGACGGCUUGCCAAGUCUGUGGUGAAAGGCCGGGGCUCAACCCCGGGACUGCAUUGGAAACUGGCAUGCUGGAGUGCCGGAGGGGCAAGCGGAAUGCCUAGUGUAGCGGUGAAAUGCGUAGAUAUUAGGAGGAACACCGGUGGCGAAGGCGGCUUGCUGGACGGUAACUGACGUUGAGGCUCGAAAGCGUGGGGAGCAAACAGGAUUAGAUACCCUAGUAGUC
This 440-nucleotide ribosomal RNA is filed under the name uncultured bacterium. RNAcentral describes it as "partial 16S ribosomal RNA". It matches the Rfam family "Bacterial small subunit ribosomal RNA", at positions 338 to 795 of the family's 1533-position model. The record is from RNAcentral.